CCGGGAGGAGCCUAGGUGUGCUCAGUGGAAUCAGGGCUGGACCAGGGCACUCCAGCCAGGACCUCAGGGGGGGGGUACAGGACAGGCUGUGAGGCCUGCCAGCCUGAGAGGGAUGGAAAGGAGGAGACCCUUCUCAUCAAGGAGAUGAGCAUGGCCGGAGAUGCCGGGCCAACAACAUUCAGGUUACUGCUGUCCGGCUCGCUGGGAUCCACUGCCCCUCAUUCCUACACUCGGCCCUGCGCCGGGCACACAGCAUCCUCCCAGCCACCCUCAUAAGUGAGCGAUAUUGUUAUCCUUGUUUCACGGAUGACAAAAUUGACUCCCAAAGGGCCUCGGGAUGGCUGGGCGGCCUGCCCGCUGGUGCCACUCUGCCCAUCAGGGUGCCCUCUCCCAUCACACCCACCUGAGGGUCUGUCUUGCAGCCGUGGUCUGGAGGGCAGCUCGGCUGUCAUCUGCGCUCUGGAGUUGAUGUCUUGCUCAAGCCUCAGAAACGUGUCAGCGUGUGGAAGAGCCUGUCAGUCAUCAUUCUAUUUCCCAGCCUCCCCGCUCUCUCUAGCCGCACUGCCCAGUACCCAGCAGCAUCAAGGGCUGAAGGCCGUGCCUCCUGAAACAGUGGUCCAAUUGCUUCGCAGCGUGGUUAUAGCCUUUGCUACCCCCAUUAGCAGCAUGAGGGGGAAAAUAAAAUUCAAAGCCCAAAU
Ovis aries (sheep) is the source of this 698-nucleotide long non-coding RNA. Lineage: Eukaryota; Metazoa; Chordata; Mammalia; Artiodactyla; Bovidae. The record is from Ensembl.